Molecule: ribosomal RNA, 494 nt
Filed under: uncultured bacterium
Lineage: Bacteria
Description: partial 16S ribosomal RNA
Rfam family: Bacterial small subunit ribosomal RNA
Source: RNAcentral
GACGAACGCUGGCGGCGUGCUUAACACAUGCAAGUCGAACGGAAAGGCCUGCUUUCCCUUGUGGAUUGCGGGUACUCGAGUGGCGAACGGGUGAGUAACACGUGAGUGAUCUGCCCCCAACUUGGGUAUAAGCCUGGGAAACUGGGUCUAAUUCCCGAUAGGACUGCAGGGUGGUGCCUGUGGUGGCAAACGAUUUUCUAGUGGUUGGGGAUGAGCUCGCGGCCUAUCAGCUUGUUGGUGGGGUAAUGGCCUACCAAGGCGGCGACGGGUAGCCGGCCUGAGAGGGUGGACGGCCACAUUGGGACUGAGAAACGGCCCAGACUCCUACGGGAGGCAGCAGUGGGGAAUAUUGCACAAUGGGGGGAAGCCUGAUGCAGCGACGCCGCGUGGGGGAUGACGGCCUGCGGGUUGUAAACUCCUUUCGACCGCGAGGAAGCCACCUGGUUGGAAGGGUGGUGACGGUAGUGGUAGAAGAAGCACCGGCUAACUACGUG